This is an RNA transcript of Mirounga angustirostris (Northern elephant seal), 2365 nucleotides long. It is a transcript of the gene named bromodomain containing 7, with no coding region annotated. The record is from RefSeq and is a predicted model, not a curated record. NCBI's taxonomy places the organism in Eukaryota, Metazoa, Chordata, Mammalia, Carnivora, Phocidae. The transcript is spliced from 17 exons.
CUGCCCCGCCGCCGCUCUCGGGCUACGGCCGGGUCUCGCGCGCCGUCUUCUCGUGAGGGGCCUCGCGCCGCCCGGCGCACGCCGCCCCCCUGCCUCGCGGCGCGGGGUCUCGCGGGCCCCGCUCCCGCCCUCCGCUUGCCUGGCCCGGACCGGAAGCGGCGCCGCACGGCCUGGGCCUGGCGCGGGGGGCGGGCACCGGGGCCCGGUCGGAUAUGGGCAAGAAGCACAAGAAGCACAAGUCGGACAAACACCUCUACGAGGAGUAUGUAGAGAAGCCCUUGAAGCUGGUCCUCAAAGUGGGAGGGAACGAAGUCACCGAGCUCUCCACGGGCAGCUCGGGGCACGACUCAAGCCUCUUCGAAGACAAAAACGAUCAUGACAAACACAAGGACAGAAAGCGGAAAAAGCGAAAGAAAGGAGAGAAGCAGGUUCCAGGGGAAGAAAAGGGGAGAAAACGGAGACGAGUAAAGGAGGAUAAAAAGAAGCGAGAUCGGGACCGUGUGGAGAAUGAGGCAGAAAAAGACCUCCAGUGCCCGACCCCUGUAAGAUUAGACUUGCCUCCUGAGAAGCCUCUCACAAGCUCUUUAGCCAAACAAGAAGAAGUAGAACAGACACCCCUUCAAGAAGCUUUGAAUCAACUGAUGAGACAAUUACAGAGAAAAGACCCAAGUGCUUUCUUUUCAUUUCCUGUGACUGAUUUUAUUGCUCCCGGCUACUCCAUGAUCAUUAAGCACCCAAUGGAUUUUAGUACCAUGAAAGAAAAGAUUAAGAACAAUGAUUACCAGUCCAUAGAAGAACUGAAGGAUAACUUCAAACUAAUGUGUACUAAUGCUAUGAUUUACAACAAACCCGAGACCAUUUAUUAUAAAGCUGCAAAGAAGCUAUUGCACUCAGGGAUGAAAAUUCUUAGCCAGGAGAGAAUUCAGAGCCUGAAGCAGAGCAUAGAAUUCAUGGCAGACUUGCAAAAAAGUCGAAAGCAGAAAGAUAGAACAGACACCUCGCAGAGUGGGGAGGACAGCGGCUGCUGGCCAAGAGAAAGGGAAGACUCUGGAGAUACUGAAGCGCAAGCCUUCAAGAGUCCCAAUAAAGAAAACAAAAAGAAAGACAAAGAUAUGCUUGAAGAUAAAUGUAAGAGCAAUAGUUUAGAAAGAGAGCAGGAGCAGAUUGACCGCAUCGUUAAGGAAUCCGGAGGAAAGCUGACCAGGCGGCUUGUUAAUAGCCAGUGUGAAUUUGAAAGGAGAAAACCAGAUGGAACAACAACAUUGGGGCUUCUCCAUCCUGUGGAUACCAUUGUAGGAGAACCAGGCUACUGCCCUGUGAGACUGGGAAUGACAACUGGAAGGCUUCAGUCUGGAGUAAAUACUUUGCAGGGGUUCAAGGAAGACAAAAGGAACAAAGUCACUCCAGUGUUAUACUUGAACUACGGACCCUACAGUUCUUAUGCUCCGCAUUAUGACUCCACAUUUGCAAAUAUCAGCAAGGACGAUUCGGAUCUGAUCUAUUCAGCCUAUGGGGAAGACUCUGAUCUUCCCAGUGAUUUCAGCAUCCAUGAGUUUUUGGCCACGUGCCAGGAUUAUCCCUAUGUGAUGGCAGACAGUUUACUGGAUGUUUUAACAAAAGGAGGUCAUUCUAGAACCCUGCAAGAGUUGGAGAUGCCAUCACCAGAAGAUGAAGGCCAGACUAGGACCCUUGACCCAGCAAAAGAAAUGGAGAUUACCGAAAUAGAGCCAGCAGGGCGUUUAGAUUCCAGUAAUCAGGACCGGCUCACAGCACUGAAAGCAGUAACAAAUUUUGGUGCUCCUGUUGAAGUUUUUGACUCUGAAGAAGCUGAAAUGUUCCAGAGGAAACUUGAUGAGACCACCAGAUUGCUCCGAGAGCUCCAGGAAGCCCAGAACGAGCGUCUGAGCACCAGACCCCCUCCCAACAUGAUCUGUCUCUUGGGUCCCUCUUACAGGGAAAUGCAUCUUGGUAUGUUACGCCUCCGCUGAACAGGUAACCAACAAUCUGAAAGAACUUGCGCAGCAAGUCACUCCAGGCGACAUUGUCAGCACGUAUGGAGUUCGAAAAGCAAUGGGGAUUUCCAUCCCCUCCCCCCUCAUGGAAAACAACUUUGUAGAUUUAACGGAAGAUUUUGAAGACCCGAGAAAGACUGACGUUGCCGAGUGUGGACCCAGUGGGAUUUGAAGCUCACUGGUAUUUCAUUAUAUAGUCUGUACAUACUUUUUUCAUUCUUAACCUGGAGAUGCUUUUCAGAAGAUAUAAAAUAUUUGUAAAUUGUGUUUUUAAUUGAACUUUGGAACAGUUAAUUUUAACGUUCCAGAGAUUGGACUUGUCUUAGGUAAUAAAGCUGAGCCUGGGACUAUGA